This 445-nucleotide ribosomal RNA is filed under the name uncultured bacterium. Its description in RNAcentral is "partial 16S ribosomal RNA". It matches the Rfam family "Bacterial small subunit ribosomal RNA", at positions 354 to 796 of the family's 1533-position model. The record is from RNAcentral.
GUGAGGAAUAUUGGUCAAUGGGCGGGAGCCUGAACCAGCCAAGUCGCGUGAAGGAAGAAGGAUCUAUGGUUCGUAAACUUCUUUUGCAGGGGAAUAAAGUGCAGGACGUGUCCUGUUUUGUAUGUACCCUGAGAAUAAGGAUCGGCUAACUCCGUGCCAGCAGCCGCGGUAAUACGGAGGAUCCGAGCGUUAUCCGGAUUUAUUGGGUUUAAAGGGUGCGUAGGUGGUUUGAUAAGUCAGCGGUGAAAGUUUGCAGCUUAACUGUAAAAAUGCCGUUGAAACUGUCGGACUUGAGUGUAAAUGAGGUAGGCGGAAUGUGUGGUGUAGCGGUGAAAUGCAUAGAUAUCACGCAGAACUCCGAUUGCGAAGGCAGCUUACUAAGCUACAACUGACACUGAAGCACGAAAGCGUGGGGAUCAAACAGGAUUAGAAACCCGGGUAGUCC